GCCGAGCUUUGUAACGUGGGCUUGUAACCCGAGUGGGGGCAACAAUGUGGUGGAAUGUUGGGUCCAUCUUGAUGGAUGGGCUUGAAGGGCUAAUGUUCUGGCCUGCCCUGUCCAAGCACAGAGUUGGGUCAAGUGGUCUAUACGAAAGUAUAGGCCACUUGGCCUUUAGAGUGGGAUGGACUGCGUGAGGCUGGUUUCACAGAGCAACGACUAGUCCCCGCUCUGUGCAGUGGAAGGAUCACGGGCUAGUGCUCUUUGAGUCCUAACAAAAACCUGAUAGGUUGCCUAAUUAAACCAUCACUUUU
Molecule: signal recognition particle RNA, 305 nt
Filed under: Solanum lycopersicum (tomato)
Lineage: Eukaryota; Viridiplantae; Streptophyta; Magnoliopsida; Solanales; Solanaceae
Description: Plant signal recognition particle RNA
Rfam family: Plant signal recognition particle RNA
Source: Rfam by way of RNAcentral